Molecule: unclassified non-coding RNA, 5357 nt
Filed under: Drosophila virilis
Lineage: Eukaryota; Metazoa; Arthropoda; Insecta; Diptera; Drosophilidae
Description: GJ17674
Source: RNAcentral
UGGCAACCUUGCACAUUUAGUGAAAUCCAAUUUAAUUGCAGCUAAAAUUCGUUCGCUUUAUUUUCUGCUGCAAAUAUUGUAAAUAGUUAUUCCGCAAUUCUGUGUAUAUAAACAAUAAUAAUGUGCAACUUUAAUAAAUAGUAAAUAAUACCAAAUAUAAUAGAUUUUAUGCAGCAAUAGCUUACCCGUACGUGUAAGUCAGGAAAAUCGAACAACUUUCUUUUUCCAUAGUGUGUGUGUGUGUGCGUGCGAGUGCGAGUGCUUGUGUGUGUAUGUGUAUUGCUGCCAUGCAAAUGCGAAAAAGCGCAGCGUAAAUCACAAAACUACGCAAAAACAAAAGUUAAUUAAAAUAGAAAAUUCGCGUUAAUUAUACGGCUAGCGGCCAGGUGGACACGCCCAUCGUUGGCAAACGCCCACGCGAUUAACUCACACACACACACACACAACCAGCUGCCGUCGUUGUUGCCACCGCAGUAAACAACAAGAAUAAAAAUUGAAAAAUGAAGAAAAUCCUGUCGAAAUUCGACAGAAAUGAGAAAUUGGAAAACUCGCACAACAGCUCUUCAUCCAAGGAGACAAACAGUUUCGUUGGCAAGGUUUUCACAGUCGGACGCGUCACGGUCACCGUGGAGGAUGUCUUGGCCGAAGGUGGUUUUGCCAUGGUUUUUCUGGCGCGUGGCAAUGGCGGAGGCAGUGCAUCAGCCAAUAAAUACGCACUGAAACGUAUGUACGUCAACAAUGAGCACGAUCUGAACGUGGCCAAGCGUGAGAUACAAAUUGCCAGCAAUUUGAGCGGUCACAAGAACAUCAUCGGCUAUGUGGACUCGAGCAUUACGCCAACCGGGAACGGAGUGUGCGAGGUGCUGCUCCUAAUGCCAUAUUGCAAGCAUCACAUGCUGGCCAUGAUGAAUGCUAGAUUACACGUUGGCUUCACCGAACCGGAAGUGCUGACCAUCUUCUGUGAUAUUGCCGAGGCGGUCUCCCGUUUGCAUUACUGCCAAACGCCCAUUAUACAUCGGGAUCUGAAGGUGGAGAAUAUCCUGCAAACGGACGGUGGCAAUUUUGUGUUGUGUGACUUUGGUUCGGCGACAGCCAAGACGCUGAAUCCCCAGCAGCAUGGUGUCACCGUGGUCGAGGAGGAGAUACAGAAGUAUACAACGCUAUCGUAUCGUGCGCCCGAAAUGAUUGAUUUGUACAGUGGGAAGAGCAUUACGACCAAGGCGGACAUCUGGGCACUGGGCUGUAUGCUCUACAAGCUCUGCUUCUUUGCCCUGCCCUUUGGCGAGAGCACGCUGGCCAUACAGAACGGACAGUUCGCCAUACCGGACAACUCGAAAUACUCGCGCGGCGUACAUCAGCUGAUCAAAUAUAUGCUGGACACGGACAUGGAAAGGCGUCCCAAUAUUUGGCAGGUGUGCGAAGUCGCCUUCCGGCUGGCGGGCAAAGACAAUCCCGUGCAGAAUUUGCAUAAAUCCGCCUUGCCCAACUUUGAUCAGCUGCUGGUGCCACCGUUUGAGUCCGAGGCAAAACGCAUUAGUGCAGCCGCCGCCAAAGCAGCCAAGCCGCAGCAGAACGUGUCCCUGGUGGAGGCAGGCACCAGUGUUGCGCCACGUUCCCGGCCCAAAGGCUCCACCACGGUGCAUGGCCAGAAUGCGCUGGGUCUCGGUCUGCCGCCCAGUCCGUUGCCACGUCAGAGCAUCACAUCGCCACAGCCACAGCCCGUGGUCGAGCAGUUUCAGGCGAAUUUUCCCGCUAUGCCGGCGGUAGUCGCUGCCCCGCCAGUUGUCGCCUCCGUUGCCUCAGCAGCAAGUGUGCCGGCAACAGCAGCUGCGGUGACCAGCGCGACGGCGCCAGCAGCUGUCAACAGCCUGUUCGAGUCGAGCGUGUAUCCGGAUCCGUUUAAUGAGGCAGCCACAACAGUUGCUGCAACUGAAGCAACAGCAGCAGCUGCUGCCAGCGAGGCGGUCAGCGAAUUGCCGGACACAUCGGUCAAUGAAUUGGCCUUGCCGGCCGCCGUGGGCACGCCCACCAAGCACAUGCUGACACCGCCCAAAUCGAGCGGCGGCGGCGGAGGCGGCCAUCGGCGCAACGUCAGCGACACCUCGGCCUUUAACAAAACCUUUGCCAAUGAGACCAGCCAGUUCCUGGCGCCGUUUAACAACAAUAUCGCCAUGUCGGGCGACGGGCCACAGAAUGUGACGUUGGCCAGCGCUGCCUCCAAUCCGGGCAUUUAUGCGAGCAGCAGCACAACAGCAACAUCGCUGUCCAGCAACGAGCUGGCUCGCCAGACCAUGGACAAGCGCGUCGAGGCAUGGAAUCCGUUCGAGGAGGAGCAGCCCUUCAGUCAGAUGACCGAGGAUAAUAUAUUCGAGGCCGAGUUCGACAAAAUACGCCAGCGCGGUAGCCAAGGGAGCAUAACGGCCAAGUCGGCAUCCACCACGUCCACACUGACGCCCACGGAGCAGAAUGUUGCGGUUCCGGCGGCGGUAGCCAGCGCAACGGUUGCCUUGACCGCUCCGGCUCCGGCUACGGUUGCGGCUGUGGCAGCAGCGCCCGCGGCUGUGUCGCCAAAUCCGCCGGCGGCAUUGGCUGAGGAUCCAUUCGGCUCGGCGCCGUUCAGUUUGCCGCCGGGUCUGCGCGAGAAGGCGAGCUCGUUGCGCAAAACUGGAGCCAAAUUCAUUGUGAGCUGCUCCUCGGGCGGUGGCACGCCCAGCAUCACGGCGAGCACCGGCAAUGCUAUGAUCUCGUCCAGCUCGUCCAAGUGGCUGCUGUCGCCCACACUGGAGGAGGAUAAAACCUCGCUGUUGAGCCGCCUGAAAACGGAUUCCGAUGGCAUCGGCCUGCGCGAGAGCGAUGGCUGCGUCGGUGGCGGAGCUGUCUCUACGUCGGGCUUUGUCAAGCUGCCGCUGGAGGAUCGCAACAAGUAUGAGAAGCUGCGCAGCAACGAUCAGCCCACAUCCGAUGACUCCGACUCGGAGUUCUUUCAGCAGGAUAGCGACGAUGGCGGCGGUGGUGGUGGUGGAGUUGGUGGCAGCGCCAAGAAGGCAGCCAUAUUCAAGCAGAUCGUGACGAGCAACAUACCGGAGACUAUACACAAGAUCCAGCAGGUGGCCUACCAGAAGGUGGACAAGACAACGCACUUGCCGAUUGUGAAGAAACUACGUCAAACGGCGACCACAAAGCGACCCUCAUCGUCGGCACAGCAGGCGGCACAGCAGCUAAAUCUGAUGGCCGCCGCGGUGGCUGCCCAGGCUGCGCAGGCGGAGGCGGCGGCAGCUGCCCAGGCGGCGGCCAGUGUGGAAUCGGACGAUGAUGAUGCCGAUUCCAUUGGCUCGGCCAGCGAUUUGCGUGCCGAGGAUGAUGAUCUAUUUGAUGAGAAUCCCCGCCAUGCGACACAAGCCAAGCCACGACGUGCUCUGCCCCUGGACAUGGACGGCAUCAGCGAGAGCGUCAAGACGUGCAGCAGCUCGGCCUACCAUGCCGAGUGCGAGAGCGUCACCACGCACGAGGACGAUGUGCGCAGCCGUGUUGUGGUCAAGGUGCGCCUGCGCAAAAAGGAUCGUUUCGCAGCGGUGGCCGCGGCAACAGAAGCCAGCACCGGCUGUGCGCCCGUCAACGAGGAGCUGAGUCCCACGUCCAGCGAUUUGCUGCACAAAUUCGGUGAUCGGCCGCUGCUGCUGGACGAUGAGCUGGACUAUGGUUCCGCGGAGAGCAAGAGCAGCACUGAAUCCGCGCCAGCUGCGGCGCCCGUUGUUGAGCCCGCUGAGGAUGAGCUAGAUGUGUUUGCCAUGGCACCGUUCAAGCUGCCCGUGGGCAAGCCGCCCAAGCGUGUGGCCAAGCCAAAGCUGGCGCGCCACCGGCCCAGCGAGCCGGAAAUGUGGACCUCCACGCCGGUGAAGGGUGCACAGGGCGAGACGCCCGCCAGCCAGGCGGCCAAUUUUGCCAACUUUCCAGCGCAGCAGGAGCAGCUGCAGCCGGCACAGCAGCAGCAGCAGUUGGAUGAGUUCAAUGAGCCCAUCUUUAAUCCGUUUAUAGAGACGCCAGCAAAGGAGCAACAGCAGCAGCAUUUGGAGGAGCAGCGCGAUCUCUUUGGCUCGGAGCCAUUUCCGCAGGUAAUACGCAAAUGUGUUGUUGUCACGCCCGACUAUCCCAGCCACAACCACAACAACAACAACAACAACAACAAUGUGAUCAAAGUGAAUGCUCCUGUUCCUGCUCCCGUUGUGACCAUCAAUCAUUCGAUUAUAAUCAAUAAAACGCCCGAACCGCUGACCAAUCACAAUCCCAACUGCUCCACCAGCACCACCAGCAGCAGCAGCAGCUCCUGCACCACCACAACCACGACAUCCUCUACCACCGCCGCCGCCAACAGCAGCAGCAGCAGCAUCAGCGUCUAUGUGAAUGUGCCCGCCACGAGCAGCUUGUGCUGCAGCAUUCCCUUGCCCGCAAUCAGCACACAAAUCCCGCCGGCACCGACACCACCGCCAGCAGCACACUUGCAGCCACUGCUGGCCAUUGCCGAUAAUGGUUUUGUCCAAAUCUCUCAAGAACGCUGCUCGGACUUCACGCCCGACGACGAGGAGGAGCCCGUGGUGUUGCGCGCUGCCGACUUGGUGGCAGACGGCGAGGCGGCAUCCGGCAUUAAGCCGAAAAAGGAGAAGUCCCAUUUGGCUGUGAGAGCAUUGCCGGCCAAGCUAACCCAAAAGGUCAAAGGACAUGCCUAUAAAAAAGUCAGCGCUGGCGCGCUGGGCUCCACAUCAUCCCUUAGCUCCGGCAGCAAGCAAAAACACCAGCGCCUCCAAUAUCAAUCGCACGACGACGAUGACGAUGACGAUGUCAAGGUCGCCCAGGAUGAGAACAGUCGUGGCAGCAACACUCGCAAUUCGCAAUUCCAGUCCAAUACCAUACAGAACUCGGCCAAGACGGGCUUCAGCAACAUGAGCUUUGAGGAUUUCCCAUCGGAUCAGGAAAUCGAUCGCAUGUCCAAAACGAUUCCAUUCGAGGUUGUGCGCAAGGAGAAAAUGCUGCUCGAGGCGGAAAAGAAAUUUGGUUCGCUCAAACGACGCAACAAUCUCUUCUCCUAAGUGAAAGCGAGCUAGAGUGACAGAGAGAGAGGGAGAGAGCGGGCGGGCCCACCCGCCACCCGCUUACAGUCGUGGCUGUGCUUAUCGGCACGCUGUUAUCAGUGCGCGUGGAAAAUUCCUAUAAAAAUAUAACAGAGUGUAGACUGAGAUAAUGUUUUAAAAAUUGGCAUUGGCUUCUACUUUUCUCUCAGUCCGCCACAGUUACAAACACAAAGACACACUCACACACACGCAAUUAACUUCCAUGCACGUAGAGAUAUACCUACAUACAUA